GAGGCUGUGGAACAGCAAAUAUUGCAGAACAGAAAAUACUGCUGCCUGAUCCUUCCUCUGGAAACUUCGUCCUAGAGUGGCACCCACCUACAUGAGAAUCAUAUCUUCGCAUCUGAAAGAAGGCAACAGCAUUGAGCAACAAUCUGGGACUCUAUUUGAUAUCUUCCCUUGAGAAGUGUUAAAUGUUGCCAUAAUCUUGACAGUUCAAAAGUUAGUCAUGUGGUUGAUAUUUUACCAAUGAGAUGAAUGUGACUGUAAUAUGGGCAAAUCCCACCUACCAUAAAAGCUGGCAAUACUUGCCUAAUAUUGAAGGAAGGAGACAUUUAGAGCAAGCCAGGAAGCUGGAACACCGGAUCAGGAACAGACACUUCUCCGCAAGUUUAGAGUUUGGUAUUUCUCAAGUCCUGGCCUGAGGGAUGUUUACUCUCAGGUUAUACAAAGUCCCAGCUUGGGUUCUGGAAAAAUUGAACUGACAACUUUGCCUGAAAGAAGUUUCUUGCUAACUCCUAGGUACAUCUUGAUUUUAUUAGACCAUGGCUAUUAUUGUGAGGUUUAUUCAGAGCAAUGAAGAUGUCACUCACCGUGUCAAAUUCAUAGGUAUGGUGGCCUUUAUUACCUGGCAACAUGCAUUUUGUUAUACAUCAAAUCCAUGUAGGGCCAUAUUAUCUGGAUCUCAGAUGUUACUGAGAAAUGUUGUAAGGUAAAUAGAUUUUUUGGGGAAUAUCUUGGACUUAGCACACUUUACUUAAUAGAAAUAUAUUUAUUGUCUUCACUUUUAAGUUACUCUGCCACUUUGCCAUUCAACCUCUAUUGGCUCUUUAUUAACUUCAAUUAGAUUUUUCCUUCUCUUUUCCUUUAGAGAUAAAAUUAAAUAAAAAUAAAAACUUCUAAAGCAAACUCUAUUCCUUUAUAAAUACUGUCUAAACGUGCCAGUGGUGUGUCCAAUUUUAGACACAAGAGCUUAAAGUUGAAUGCAAAUUUUGAUUUUCUUUAUAAAUGAGAUGAUGAAAAUCUAUUGUGAAAAGGUUAUGAGAAAAAAGCUUAUCUUGUAAUUGCAGCCAAGAUCCAAGCCAUUAUUUAAGACGUGAAGCAUUUGGCAACAAAGAGAUUGUUGUCAUUAAAAAGGAAGCCCAACGCAUUAUUCUUGGGCUGAGAAAAAAUAAUUUAGCUGUCAUUGUUAUUUAAGGAGUAACACCGGAAGAUGGGAGACAUUAAAAUAAGCAGCUUUACCUCAAGAAGUGUAAUAUCUUCUUUUCCCUCUAAGAUGCAGAGGUAGUUAAUAAACAUUUGAUGAUUGAUUUAAACAUAUUAGAGAGAGAUUCACUUGUUAGUAUUUAUCAUCUAGCUAAAUUGUAUUUUUUUAAUGUAUACAACUGAGAUGAAGCCAAUAGAACUUUACCACAGUGGUUGUAAAGAGAUAAGAAAUUAUUAUUUCUCAUUAUACCAUCAGCAGACUGAGGUCUGUAACUUGAUACUUAUGCAAAAGAUUACUAAAUUGGUAGCUAUUCUUAUAAAAUAUUCACUUUAGGAAAGAAGGUGAGAAUGAGGCCACUGACGUCAUCUUGGCUUGGUUUACUUAAGCCUGGGCAAAGAGGGAAAAGGGCACUGGAGAUUU
RNAcentral lists this long non-coding RNA (1615 nucleotides) under Homo sapiens (human). RNAcentral describes it as "HSALNT0313134". The record is from RNAcentral. Lineage: Eukaryota; Metazoa; Chordata; Mammalia; Primates; Hominidae.